This is a non-coding RNA of Triticum aestivum (bread wheat), 89 nucleotides long. The record is from Rfam. Lineage: Eukaryota; Viridiplantae; Streptophyta; Magnoliopsida; Poales; Poaceae.
GGGGUGGUGGCGUAGUUGGCUAGUGUGUAGGUCUCAUAGAUAUAACAUGAGUGAUCCUGACGUCAAGAGUUCGAGCCUCUCUCACCCCA